CGUGGGUAACCUGCCCAAGAGAUCGGGAUAACACCUGGAAACAGAUGCUAAUACCGGAUAACAACAGAUGAUGCCUAUCAACUGUUUAAAAGAUGGUUCUGCUAUCACUCUUGGAUGGACCUGCGGUGCAUUAGCUAGUUGGUAGGGUAACGGCCUACCAAGGCGAUGAUGCAUAGCCGAGUUGAGGGACUGAUCGGCCACAUUGGGACUGAGACACGGCCCAAACUCCUACGGGAGGCAGCAGCG
This 246-nucleotide ribosomal RNA is filed under the name uncultured Lactobacillus sp. Its description in RNAcentral is "partial 16S ribosomal RNA". It matches the Rfam family "Bacterial small subunit ribosomal RNA", at positions 116 to 356 of the family's 1533-position model. The record is from RNAcentral. Lineage: Bacteria; Bacillati; Bacillota; Bacilli; Lactobacillales; Lactobacillaceae.